RNAcentral lists this ribosomal RNA (335 nucleotides) under uncultured bacterium. RNAcentral describes it as "bacterial SSU rRNA". It matches the Rfam family "Bacterial small subunit ribosomal RNA", at positions 28 to 334 of the family's 1533-position model. The record is from RNAcentral.
GAUGAACGCUAGCGACAGGCUUAACACAUGCAAGUCGAACGGAGUCAUCAUUUUUGAAGCAAUUAGCUUGCUAAGGGUGGAAAUGUUGGUGACUUAGUGGCGGACGGGUGAGUAACGCGUGGGUAACCUGCCAUAUACAGGGGGAUAACACUUAGAAAUAGGUGCUAAUACCGCAUAAGCGCACAGGACCGCAUGGUCUGGAGUGAAAAACAUUAGUGGUAUAUGAUGGACCCGCGUCUGAUUAGCUGGUUGGUGAGGUAACGGCCCACCAAGGCGACGAUCAGUAGCCGGCCUGAGAGGGUGGACGGCCACAUUGGGACUGAGACACGGCCCAA